Molecule: long non-coding RNA, 1077 nt
Organism: Drosophila sulfurigaster albostrigata
Lineage: Eukaryota; Metazoa; Arthropoda; Insecta; Diptera; Drosophilidae
Exons: 2
Source: RefSeq, a predicted model, not a curated record
CGUUUAGUGUCAAUAUUUGUGGCAAACAAAAUAAAUAAGAAAACCAAUCAAGAUUAAUGCAAUAUACAAUCAAUAACAUAAUAUUGGCUGCUGUUCGACAUAAAUUUUAUUUUAAAUAAUUAUACAAGCCAAAGUUGGUUUUAAACUAACAACAUCAACUAUUAUGCCAACUUUAGAUUUAUAUAGUUAUCAAAGUCAAACAAUUAUCGCGAUGUGAUCACAAACUAUCAAACAAAAUUGAGUCGAAAAUCGCAAAGGCAGCGUGGUAGCAACAACAGCAACCACAGCAACAGCAACAACAACAAUCAACUGGGGGAAAACAAAAGCAAAGUUGGCAGGCAACAGGCAUAAAAGUCGUGAUACUAACAAAUUUCAUUAAUGUACAACAGCGGCAACAAGUUGCAGGCACGGCUCUGAAGCGGAGCCAUGGCCAAGUUGCUUGCAACUCUCCUGCAGCAUCAUUGGCUACGGCGAUUCCAUUCAUAAAACUGCCGCACUCUGGCAUAAAAUGCGAGAUCGGGAUCGGGAUUGGAAUCGAGAGAGAAAGAGGGAGAGAACGGAAAGGGGAGGGAAACAAACACUAAGCGCAUUGCAUGAUUUUGCAUAAUUUUAUGUAAAUUUGGCGAGGCGGCUCAAGACUUGCCAGCCAAGUCGAAUGCUCACAAGCGCAGGCGCAACAGACAACGCAGACAAGCCAGGCAAAGCAGACAGACAGACAGGGCGGGGGCGUGGCAGUGUGGCAGCGUCGGGAUUUGUUGUUGCUCGACGACAUGAUAUAUGCCACAUGAUGACCACGACUAAGCUAAGCAGCCAAUGCGGCAAACAGUAGCAAUUGCUUUUGUUGUACAAGGACACGAUUAUGUGCAAAGGAUUCGGCGGAGGUUGAGAUGGAGUUGGAGUUGGAGGAAAGCCGUCUCCUUCUCUCUAGACUGCCGACGACUGAGGUCAAUUUAUGCAAAGUGCAAAACGUGGCUCAGUUCUGAAACAAAAGCAUACAAAGUAACGCAAAGCUAACUUUUAUUCUAUAAACAAUUUUUUGUCAACAAAAUGUGAUACACAAAAUAACAAAAAAAACAA